RNAcentral lists this ribosomal RNA (467 nucleotides) under uncultured bacterium. Its description in RNAcentral is "partial 16S ribosomal RNA". It matches the Rfam family "Bacterial small subunit ribosomal RNA", at positions 29 to 507 of the family's 1533-position model. The record is from RNAcentral.
ACGAACGCUGGCGGCGUGCUUAACACAUGCCAGUCGCACGGAAAGGCCCUGCUUUUGUGGGGUGCUCGAGUGGCGAACGGGUGAGUAACACGUGAGUAACCUGCCCUUGACUUUGGGAUAACUUCAGGAAACUGGGGCUAAUACCGGAUAGGAGCUCCUGCUGCAUGGUGGGGGUUGGAAAGUUUCGGCGGUUGGGGAUGGACUCGCGGCUUAUCAGCUUGUUGGUGGGGUAGUGGCUUACCAAGGCUUUGACGGGUAGCCGGCCUGAGAGGGUGACCGGCCACAUUGGGACUGAGAUACGGCCCAGACUCCUACGGGGGGCAGCAGUGGGGAAUAUUGCACAAUGGGCGGAAGCCUGAUGCAGCAACGCCGCGUGCGGGAUGACGGCCUUCGGGUUGUAAACCGCUUUCGCCUGUGACGAAGCGUGAGUGACGGUAAUGGGUAAAGAAGCACCGGCUAACUACGUG